Molecule: unclassified non-coding RNA, 286 nt
Filed under: uncultured fungus
Lineage: Eukaryota; Fungi
Description: partial contains small subunit ribosomal RNA, internal transcribed spacer 1, and 5.8S ribosomal RNA
Rfam family: Eukaryotic small subunit ribosomal RNA (bases 1-73)
Source: RNAcentral
GCAAACUUGGUCAUUUAGAGGAAGUAAAAGUCGUAACAAGGUUUCCGUAGGUGAACCUGCGGAAGGAUCAUUAUCGAAAUCGAAGCCCGAGGAGGGGAAGACCCUCCGAAGGUUUCAAACCUUCUCGACACCCGUGUGCACCUGCUGUAGGUCCUCCGGGAUCUACGUCUCAUCCUUCGAACUCGUAUGUCCAAAGAACGUGCGCGUCGCUCCGGCGACAGUAAACCAUGAUCAUACAACUUUCAGCGAUGGAUCUCUUGGCUCUCGCAUCGAUGAAGAACGCAGC